AGAGGGACGAUAAGACCCUAUAGAUCUUUAUUUUUUUCCAUUUUUUUUUAUUUUAGUUUAUUUUAGAUUUUUUUUGGUUAUAAAUUUUGCUGGGGUGGUAGAUAAAAUUUUAAUCUUUAUUUUUUUUUUACAUUUCUUUAUGUGAUUUUGAUCCUUUUUUUUGAUUAUAAGAUUAAGAUACCUUAGGGAUAACAGCGUGAUAAUUCUGGAGAGUUCAUAUUGAUAGAGUUGUUUGCGACCUCGAUGUUGGAUUAAAAAUUUCUGUGAGGCAGGUUUUACAGUUUAGGGUCUGUUCGACCUUUAAAAUUUUACAUGAUCUGAGUUCAAGCCGGCGUGAGCCAGGUUGGUUUCUAUCUUCUUUAAUUUAAUUCUAAUUGGUACGAAAGGAUUUUUAGAA
This 397-nucleotide ribosomal RNA is filed under the name Pyrops candelaria (lantern bug). Its description in RNAcentral is "Laternaria candelaria (lantern bug) 16S ribosomal RNA". It matches the Rfam family "Bacterial large subunit ribosomal RNA", at positions 2074 to 2646 of the family's 2925-position model. The record is from RNAcentral. Lineage: Eukaryota; Metazoa; Arthropoda; Insecta; Hemiptera; Fulgoridae.